GCCGCUGCGAGAAGGCGGCGCAGGUCGAAUACCAGGAGGUGGGGGCGAAGCUAUCCCACUUGCUUUCGAAAUUGAACCCUGCCGCCGAGGAGUCUCUCUCUCUCUCUCUUUCUCUCUCUCUCUCUUCACUUCCAUGGGACGGCAAAAAGGCGGCGGCACCAAAGCUGAAGCUGACGGCCAGAAGAGUCAUGGCCUCGCCCUGGGCACCGCCUGCGUCGAGGGAGACAGAAUGGGGGUGGACGGCGAGGAGAUGGAGGAGAAGGCCGAGAGAUCCAAUCUCGACGACUCGCCGUUGAUCGGCGCGGACAACACCAGCGCCGACUACUACUUCGUUCCUAUCCCCAUUUAGGUAUCCAUGAAGUUAGUUAUUCAUUUCUGAUUCAUGAGCUACUACAUGUUGCCAUCAUGGGGAAUGUUUUCAAAUGGCUGACAUGGCAAAAGAAAUAGUUAGAACAAAUGGAUAUUCUGACGGUGACCAGUGAUUAUCUAUAUUUGAUGAUUGCACUCCUAAGUUCCAUCUUACUUAUUCAUCAUAUUUUAUCUAUAGUUAUAACUGUGCUAAAAGGGAAAGUUGAAGACAUUGAGCUUCCAGUGGCUCAUGUAGAUGUUAUCAUGUCUGAAUGGAUGGGCUAUUUCCUGUUGUUUGAGAACAUGCUAAACACAGUUCUUUAUGCACACGAUAAAUGGCUUGGACCACUGGGACUCCAUCAAUGUCAUCCUCUAUUGGCUGCUCCAAAUUAUGUUUUGCCUUAUGAAGAUCAUCUCGUCCCCUUAUUUCCACUGGCUGUGAAUUAGCAUUGCACUGAGGUAGUUUGAUAUUAUUUGGAGUUUUUACUGAGGGUUUGUUUAAGUAAGUAUUCCCUUCAAGAAGUAACUGAGGUGAUGCAGCUAUCAACUUCUGAACCUGUUUCAGUAGAAUGUUAUGGACAGCGCAAGAAGAUAGAGAGCCAAUGAACAUAAUUAGCUGAGCUGAGCUGUUGAAACUAACCUCUAUCAAUCUGUGAAGCUCAAACACUUGACGAAGUAAACAAUGAUUUCAUAUUUAUGAAUGUGGGCUAAUGUGAAGUCGGAAUGUUUGUAAUCCAUGCUUGUACCUGUUCACAUCAAUUUUCUCGCAAGCUUAACAAGGCAUUUAAUCUAUUUUGUACAUGCCCAAGAUCAAAGGUUACACACUGGAAACAAA
This is a long non-coding RNA of Zingiber officinale, 1183 nucleotides long. RefSeq lists it as uncharacterized. The record is from RefSeq and is a predicted model, not a curated record. The transcript has 4 exons. Lineage: Eukaryota; Viridiplantae; Streptophyta; Magnoliopsida; Zingiberales; Zingiberaceae.